RNAcentral lists this ribosomal RNA (253 nucleotides) under uncultured bacterium. RNAcentral describes it as "partial 16S ribosomal RNA". It matches the Rfam family "Bacterial small subunit ribosomal RNA", at positions 524 to 776 of the family's 1533-position model. The record is from RNAcentral.
UACGUAGGGUGCAAGCGUUGUCCGGAUUUAUUGGGUUUAAAGGGUGCGUAGGCGGCCUUGUAAGUCAGUGCUGAAAUAUCCCGGCUUAACCGGGAGGGUGGCAUUGAUACUGCAGGGCUUGAGUUAAGUUGAAGUUGGCGGAAUUGACGGUGUAGCGGUGAAAUGCUUAGAUAUCGUCAAGAACACCGAUAGUGAAGACAGCUAACUAAACUUUUACUGACGCUGAGGCACGAAAGUGUGGGGAUCAAACAGG